This 424-nucleotide ribosomal RNA is filed under the name Verrucomicrobiota bacterium. Its description in RNAcentral is "Verrucomicrobia bacterium partial 16S ribosomal RNA". It matches the Rfam family "Bacterial small subunit ribosomal RNA", at positions 355 to 776 of the family's 1533-position model. Lineage: Bacteria; Pseudomonadati; Verrucomicrobiota. The record is from RNAcentral.
UGAGGAAUAUUGGUCAAUGGACGAGAGUCUGAACCAGCCAAGUAGCGUGCAGGAUGACGGCCCUAUGGGUUGUAAACUGCUUUUGUUUGGGAAUAAUCGACAUUACGUGUAAUGUUUUGCAUGUACCAUUCGAAUAAGGACCGGCUAAUUCCGUGCCAGCAGCCGCGGUAAUACGGAAGGUCCAGGCGUUAUCCGGAUUUAUUGGGUUUAAAGGGAGUGUAGGCGGUUGGUUAAGCGUGUUGUGAAAUGUAGAUGCUCAACAUCUGACUUGCAGCGCGAACUGGCUGACUUGAGUACACACAACGUAGGCGGAAUUCAUGGUGUAGCGGUGAAAUGCUUAGAUAUCAUGAAGAACUCCGAUUGCGAAGGCAGCUUACGGGAGUGUUACAGACGCUUAAGCUCGAAGGUGCGGGUAUCGAACAGG